CCGAUUGCUAUUUGGGUGAGAAUAAGCCAUGCGAGUUGAAUGGGAUACCUAAAGUUCCCAUAGCAAACUGCUCAGUAACACAUGAUCAACUUACCCUAUAGAGAAAAAUAACCUCGGGAAACUGAGGAUAAUGUUUCAUAAUUGAAUUGGCUUGGAAAAGUUUUUCAAUGAAAAGGAUAAAAAAAAUGGUUUUUAUCCGCUAUAGGAUAGGAUCGUGUUCGAUUAUGGUUGUUGGUGAGAUAAUGGCCCACCAAGCCGAUAAUCGAUAGGGGCCGUGAGAGCGGGAGCCCCGAGAUGGGUACUGAGACAACGACCCAGGCCUUACGAGGCGCAGCAGGCGCGAAACCUCCGCAAUACACGAAAGUGUGACGGGGUUACCCAAAGUGUUCAAUUUGAACUGUGGUAGGUGAGUAAUGUCCCCUACUAGAAAGGAGAGGGCAAGGCUGGUGCCAGCCGCCGCGGUAAAACCAGCUCUUCAGGUAGUCGGGAUAAUUAUUGGGCUUAAAGUGUCCGUAGCCGGUUUAGUAAGUUCCUGGUAAAAUCGGGUAGCUUAACUAUCUGCAUGCUAGGAAUACUGCUAUACUAGAGGGCGGGAGAGGUCUGAGGUACUACAGGGGUAGGGGUGAAAUCUUAUAAUCCUUGUAGGACCACCAGUGGCGAAGGCGUCAGACUGGAACGCGCCUGACGGUGAGGGACGAAAGCCAGGGGAGCGAACCGGAUUAGAUACCCGGGUAGUCCUGGCCGUAAACGAUGCAUACUAGGUGAUGGUACGGCCAUGAGCCGUACCAGUGCCGUAGGGAAACCGUUAAGUGUGCCGCCUGGGAAGUACGGUCGCAAGACUAAAACUUAAAGGAAUUGGCGGGGGAGCACCACAAGGGGUGAAGCCUGCGGUUC
This 894-nucleotide ribosomal RNA is filed under the name uncultured archaeon. Its description in RNAcentral is "bacterial SSU rRNA". It matches the Rfam family "Archaeal small subunit ribosomal RNA", at positions 23 to 903 of the family's 1478-position model. The record is from RNAcentral.